This 74-nucleotide transfer RNA is filed under the name Rhodococcus sp. 06-156-3C. RNAcentral describes it as "tRNA-Trp". It matches the Rfam family "tRNA". Rfam says of the family: Transfer RNA (tRNA) molecules are approximately 80 nucleotides in length. The record is from RNAcentral. Lineage: Bacteria; Bacillati; Actinomycetota; Actinomycetes; Mycobacteriales; Nocardiaceae.
GGGGAUAUAGCGUAGUGGUAGCGCAGCGGCUUCCAAACCCGUUAGCGGCGGUUCGAUUCCGUCUAUCCCUGCCA